Molecule: long non-coding RNA, 32215 nt
Filed under: Eucalyptus grandis
Lineage: Eukaryota; Viridiplantae; Streptophyta; Magnoliopsida; Myrtales; Myrtaceae
Description: long non-coding RNA (EGRA_LNC006378)
Source: RNAcentral
CUCGAGAUAUCAUCCCACCACGCACUCACAUGCUUCCGGUCCCUUAUCAGGUACUCCUUCCCCAUCUUGCCCACCAAGUACUGGGUGAAUGGAAGGUGGCUCAAGUCGGCAAGGCUGACGAAAUCCCCUGCCAGGUACUUGCUCUUCGACAGCAUCUCCUCGUAGAUAUCCAGCACCUUACAAAGCUUGUCUCGCUCUCUUUGAGCUGCGGGUGGAAGUUCUGGGCCGAAAACAAUUUUGAGGACAAGGUCGAAGAUUGGCGGGUGGAAGUUCUGGGCCUCAACUUCGAGCCACUGCUCAACGAGCCCCCUCUCCUCUAUAGUCUUCCCCAGUAGGUCAGUCCCUUGGCGCUUGUAUUUCUCAGCAUAAUAACUUAUGAUGGCCCGAGAUUCUGUAUGAAUUAAACAGGAUAUAUUACCGAGAGUAGACAGAAUCUUUAUCCCCACAUGUGAAAAGCACCAUAAAACUGGAAUGAAACCUGAAAGAGACAUGCACUGUGCUUUUGAGUUCACCAGCAUAGUUCUACUCUCAUGACCCUAGAUCCCCGGCAUAAGUGUAGAUGCAGCAGGAAUUUUCAAUGUCUAUACACUAAUCAUUCUGCUUAAACACCGGUCAAGAACAUAGUCGAAUGAAAAUGUGGGUCCAAACGGAAAAUCAGCAGCCUUUGGCCGACAUACAAAAAGCAGAUCAUGAACAACUCCACAGCAGAAAUCGAAGCUAUGAGUCUGGCCUGAGAGCUUUGAUUCAAAUCAUCUGUUCCUCAGGCAAAAGAUUUGACUUGAGAUUGAGAGUGGAUGUUGGUAAACUAAAACAAGUGGCUGAUAACAAAUGAACAUGCCACUGAGACUCAAACUUUCCAACUUCCUCUGGUAUCUCCUCAUUGCGGAACUUUUCUUAACUUUUGCGACGCUUUGCUGGCCAAUUACAAAACAAACAGCGCCUAGCGAACUACGAGCAUCCGAAUGCUGAACAACCAUCCGUAUUUGCACGUGUUUUGAUCUCAGGAGCGUCUCCUCAUUGCGGAAACUUUUCUUAGACUUUCGCGAUGCUUUGCUGGCCAAUUACAAAACAAACAGCGCUAGCGAACUACGAGCAUCUGCUUGCUGAAGAACCAUCCGUAUUUGCACGUGUUUUGAUCUCAGGAGCAAGAAAAAGCCUGAGCGCCGGACCAUGACGUGAAAAUCCGAAGGCUCAAAACAACAACGACAAAAAAAGAAAAGAUGCAACAAGCCAAGAGUUGAGAGCAUUACCGAACAGAGUGUAGUCACCAUCUUGAACCGCAGGAACUGAUCCGAAGGGCUAAUCAUACACCCAUAUACACAACAUCCGUAUCAAAAUCAAUCAGACAAAACACGCUUUAAAUGCCUAGUACCCACAAAAGAAGACACGAUCAAAAGUCAAGCUGUCGAGAGUUUGAACGAGAGUGAAGUGAGAGUCUCGAUAACGGGGGAGAGACCUGGAGCUUGAGGUACUCAGGGGCUUUGUGCUCUCCCUUGAAGUGAUCGAUGGUGACGGUCCGGAACUCGACGCCCUUCUCGAUCAGGCACUCCAACACUCGCUUCGGCGCUGCAGCAUCAGGCCCGUACACCUUCACCACCAUUCUCUCUCUCUCUCUCUCUCUCUCUUCUUGGUGGACCAGUCAAUUCCAAGAAUCUCUCGCUACUCUGUCUGGGUUUAUAAACAGAACUCUUGUCAGAGCAUUGAACCAAGUUGCACCCGUUACCGUCAUGCGACAACUUACCCAUCACGAUUGGCAUCCCAGGUUAGACACUUGAAAGAAGAUGCAGAAGUCGAGAUGAAGGAAAGCGAGAUGGGGAAGUUUUCUUGUAUUUCAGUAUAUCCUUGUAAUGUAUAGAGCAUGUCUAUUAUAAUACAUGUUGUAUGUAAAUAAAAGGAAACAAUAUUAUAUACAAAAUCAGAUUCGAUAUUAAUUGAUCUUGACUUGUGCAAUGAUAUCUGAAAGAUUCGGUUGAAUAUCCUUGCGUAUCUUUAACACUCCCCCUCAAGCUGGUGGCUUGUAAAUGUCCAAGACGCCUAGCUUGCUCAAGAGAUACGCAUGCUGUCUCUGACAUAAAGGUUUGGUGAAGACAUCUGCUGGUUGUUCUUCUGUCCCAAUCCCUUGUGUCUCGAUCAUCCCUUGUUGAAUCUUUUCUCGUGUGAAGUGACAGUCCACUUCUAUGUGCUUGGUUCUCUCAUGCACAAUAGGAUUCGAUGCAAGUUUGAUGGCUGCAUCAUUGUCACAAAAUAGUAUGGUCGGUCCUCUAACUUGUACUCCAAGAUCUCGAAGCAAUCCCCUUAACCAUACUAUUUCACAAGUUGUUUUGGCCAUAGCACGAUAUUCUGCCUCUGCCGAAGAUAGUGAAACUGUCGGUUCCUUUUUUGUCUUCCAUGAGAGUAAAGAGUCUCCCAAUUUGAUGCAGAAACCAGUAAUGGAUCUUCUGCUCAUCGGACGGGUCGCAUAAUCCGCAUCAUAGUAAGUAGUCAUCCUCAUGUCGCAUUUCCUGGAAAGAAGAAUCCCGAGUCCUGGACAACUCUUCAAGUACUUCACCACUUUAAGUGCUGCAUUCAUAUGAGAUUCCUUCGGUUGAUGCAUAAAUUGACUGAGUGUCUGGACUGCAUAACUUAUAUCUGGUCUGGUCAUGGUCAAAUAUAUGAGCUUCCCAACGAGCUUCUGAUAACUCAAUUGAUCCUUGAGUAUAGGAUCAGUCUGUUGAGAUAAACCAACAUCAUAAUCUGCUGUAGUCAGUUUAAUGUUCUGCUCAAUUGGAAUUACAGCUGGCUUACAUCCUGAUAGACCUGCUUCCGAUAUAAUCUCCAGUGCAAAUUUCCUCUGACUGAGGGAAAUCCCUUGGUCUGAGCGUGCGAUUUCGAUUCCAAGGAAGUACUUUGGUGAUCCUAAAUCCUUAAUAUGGAAUGUUGAAUGCAAAUAGCUUUUGAAUUCUUUGAUAGCUACCUCAUCAUUGCCCAUAAUAAGUAUAUCAUCUACAUAUAUCAUUAAGUAAAUAGCAUAAUCAAACUUGGACUGUUGAAAACCGGCGGCUAUCAAUGACUCAGCAAACUUUGCAUACCACUGUCUUGAGGCUUGUUUGAGUCCAUACAAGGAUUUGCGGAGACGACAGACUUUAUCCUCCCCCUGUCUCCGUAAACCUGGUGGCACUUCCAUAUAAAUCUCCUCAUCUAAAUCCCCAUGCAGAAAUGCGUUGUGCACAUCCAUCUGAUGCAAUGACCAGUCCCGAAAAGCCGCUACGGAAAGGAAUGAUCGAACAGUCACAUCUUUGGCCACGGGGGAAAAGGUUUCGUGGUAGUCAAAACAUUCCCGUUGUGUGAAACCUUUCGCCACUAAUCGAGCUUUGUAUCUCUCAACAGAUCCAUCUGCACGAUACUUGAUCUUGUAAACCCAUUUGCAUCCAAUCGCCUUGCGGUGUGCAGGUAGGGUAACAAGAUCCCACGUCUGAUUAUCCAUCAAGGCCAUUAACUCUGCUUCCAUGGCCUUCUGCCAGUGCGGAUCAGUGCGUGCCUCCUCAAAGCUCGAUGGUUCUCGCCCAUCAGAAAUGCGAGUAAUACAACAUCUAUGUUCUGGGAAAAGUCUAUCGAAAGAAACAAAUGAGGCAACCGGAAACGGAAUACCUGGUGAUUUCUGGACUCCGCAUAUGUAGUCUUUGGUCCAUGUCGGUGGACGUGUGCUACGUCCGGAUCGCCUUGGUACAUGGUGCCUUGAUGGUGAAUGAUUAUCAUUUGAAUCCCCAACAUUACUUGAAACUGGAGAAGCGACUUCCUCCUGGUGUGAUGCUGUCACUUCAGCUGAGGACAUCAUGUCCAUAGGGGUCAUAGUAGAUGGCCUGAUAUUUGCUGAUGGAGGAAGGAGAACAUAGUUUGGAUCUUCCAUAGUCUCCUCCGUCUGAAUAAUACGAAAAAGAUAAUCCUAUUAUGUAUCUGAUGCAGAGGUGGCAAAAGGAAAAGAAUUCUCUUGAAACGAAACAUCUCGACUAACUAUGAAUUCUCCUGUGGAAGGAUAAAAAACCCUGUAUCCCUUCUGUAGAGUGGGAUAUCCCAUAAAGAUGCAUCAACGAGCACGAGGUCCCAUUUUAUCCCUAGGACCUACUAUGGUGGCGUAGCAAAGACAUCCAAAAAUCUUCAAAUGUCCCAGAUCUAGUUUCUUUCCAUAAAGCAGCUCAAAAGGUGUUCGCCCGCUAAGAAGUUUACUUGGCAUACGGUUGAUUAAAUAAGUUGCAGUUAAAACACAAUCGCCCCAAAAAGUGUCUGGAACAUAAGCUUGGAAUUUCAAAGCCCGUGCCAUUUCUAAAAGAUGACGAUGUUUCCGUUUUACCACCCCAUUUUGUUGUGGUGUAUAAACACAUGUGCUCUCAUGUAGUAUUCCAUGGGACAAAAAAAGAGCAGUACAUUCAUGAUUGAAAAACUCACUACCAUUGUCUGUCCGGAUUUUUUGAACAUCUUUCCCAAAUUGAGUUUUUGACAAGGAAAGAAAGCUCUUAAGGUGAGAUAGAACUUGACCCUUACUUUGCAUGAGAAAAAGCCACGUAGCCCUGGAGUGAUCAUCUACGAUGGUGAGAAAGAACCAAGACCCAUCAUGAUUUAAUAUAUGGUAUGGCCCUCAGACAUCAACAUGUAAUAAAGAAAGAAUGUCACUUGAGCGAUGUUGACUUAGUGGAAAGGGUGUUCGCGACUGUUUCGCAAGUGGGCAAAUAGGGCAUUGAGGGUAAGGAAAAGAAGGGCUGUGACCCAAUCUAGAAUGUAAAAGGAAAUUCUUAUAAUUGGUAGUCAGAUUACACAAUGAUUUAUUACAAGAGAGUAAAUCAAGAUUUUUGGGUGAAUUUCUCCAAUAAAACAAUCCUUCAGAGAGGUUACCCCAGCCCAUUAGUUUCCCAGUCGAAAGGGCCUGAAAUAGACAGACAUCAGCAUUGAAAAAAACUUGGCAUGAAUUUUCUUGACAGGCUUUGGACACUGAGAUAAGAUUGAAUUGGAAAUUCGGGACGUAAAGAACAUUUUUUAGAGUAAUUUGUGGGCUAAGAAUGACAGUCCCGGUUAGGGUGACACAAGUGAUAUUGCCAUUUGGCAAUUGCACAGUAAUAGGAUUAGUUGAAUCUUCAUGAAUAUUAUAAAAUAACCCCUUAUUGCAUGUAAUAUGAUCGCUCGCUCCAGAGUCAAUAAUCCAGGCAUUUCUUGAUAUAUUACUUGUCAGGCAAUAAGAAAUACCUGUAAAAUUGCUCCCCCUUUUUGGUGCCUCCAAUUUUUGCAAAGCCUGCAAUAAUUGUUGAUAUUCUCCAUGUGUGAUUGGUUGAUUGACAUCUGUGGAUGGAGUGGGCUAAUAAGCUGCUGCUGAAAUUUCCUUCCCUUUCCUGUUAGGCCUCCCAUGUAAUUUCCAGCAAUUGUCAAUUGUGUGGUGGGGCCUUUUACAAUAAUCACAAAAUAACUUCCAUCUAUUUUUAAAAUUCGGCCCAAAAUUUCUCAAAUAAUUCGGACCGUUGGAUCCCUUUAAGCCGAGCGCAUCUCCACCGUCGAGAUCACCCGAGUGCCGCGCCCCUUUCUGACCGUCGGAUCGCUGCAGUCGAUCUCGACCGUCCACGGAGCCUUUAAAAGGGCCCUUUUGCUCCGCAAACCCUAGUGCCCCCUUUGGCUCUCCGAACCCUAAUGAUAUCGCGUCUCUUCCUUUGGCUAGGGUUUUCUGCCCCUUUUCGAUUUUCGCCGCCAAGGCUAGGGUUUCGAUGGUUUUGGCCUCGGAUGUAGUGAGUCUCUGGUUCUCCUCCUGCACCGCGAGCUGAAAUAUCCGGCCAAGGGGAGGAGCUGGUUCCAUUGCCAAGAUCUGCGAUUUGAAAUGGAGGUAAGAAUCGUUGAGAAUCAAUAGAAAACGAGUUGCCUUUUCUCGGUCCCCUAUCGCUUUGUAUUGCUGGAGUGUUGCCUUCGGUCCUUCGAGUCUCUCUUCUGCCGUUUCUAGCUCGUUCCAGAGGGUGGAUAGCUUGUUGAAGCAUGUCGUCAAUGACAUGUUUCCCUGCUUGAGCUCGCUGAGAGCUUGAUGCAGCGAGAAAAUUUUUACCCUAUCGAGUUUUCCGUACAUUUCUUGAAUAUUUUGCCAAAUUGUUUUUGAAUCCUCUGUGGGAGGUAAACCUGCAGCGAUUUCGGGGCUGAUGCAGUUACCUAUCCACGUUCUUACCAAUUGGUUGCAUUUUUUUUCCAUUGUCGCCCCAUCUUCUCAUCGGUCGGAAUCGGAAUAGUUCCGUCAAUGAAACCUUCUUUAUCUUUGGUGACGAGCGCUCUUCGAAGCUCUCGUGCCCAGCUCGAGUAGUUUUCAGGUCCUGUGAGAGGGUGACUAAUAAGUCGCAACUCCGACCCGUCGGAAUUGGAAACAUACAGGGCAUCGCCAGGUUCUGGGCGACCCAUGGCGGCCGCCAAGGAAAUCGGUAGGAGACCGGUUGGAAACCCCGAAUAAGGGUUUGCUUGCUGACCCUGAUUGAAACCGCCCUGAGUCCCCGCAUGCGAAUCGCCUGGGUUUUCGCCCGCAUUAAUCGACCCGAUUGUUUCUGAUUGGUCCGGCCCGCUCGCGACUGGUGGACUAUUCUGAGUCUAACUUCCUGGGAAUGAUACAUUCGGAUUUCCUCCAUAGUAUACUGGCAUUGGCACCCACUGGUAUGGAGUCCCUGAAUGAGGAUACCCCUAGACUGGGUUGCCAAGGAAAAAAUUGCCCCAUCGCGGGCUGAUCAGAUCGACCUAUGAUGUUAUGCACUUGAUCUUGUGCUUCUGAGGUCGCUGCAUCCACAGGUAAUUGCCCCGAUUGAGGUUGAUUGUCAGCCAUGACGGUAUGAAGAACUCCCUCUCUUCCUUUUCCUUCGUCUGUUUCAAUGUGAUUUCCUAAGGGUGAUGAUUCUUGCGCCGAAGAGCUAAUGCGUUUUGCAGGUUAGCUAGAUUUUUCCGGUGGAAGAUCAGAAGACCAGAAGAGGACGAAUUGAAGAAGCGAAUUAAAGGUGCGUAACCCACUCUGAUACCAUGAAAGAAGAUGAAGAAGACGAGAUGAAGGAAAGCGAGAUGGGGAAGUUUUCUUGUAUUUCAGUAUAUCCUUGUAAUGUACAGAGCAUGUCUAUUAUAAUACAUGUUGUAUGUAAAUAAAAGGAAACAAUAUUGGCAGAAGUACAGCGCAAGUGCCAUAACUUGGCACCGAGGGACACUUAAGUGCCAUAACUUUAAAAUGGUACACUUGAGUGCCAGUUUUGAAAUUAAAUGGGACACUUAAGUGCCACUCCGGCGAAGAUCCGGCCAAAUGGCUUACGUGGCGACUUUCCGGUGAGUUUGGUCCAAAACGGCGUCAUUUUGCACGCUGACGUGGCGGAGAAAAUGCAAAAACGACGUCAUUUCGUGUCUACAUGUAAAUAAUAAUAUAAAAAUUAAUUAAAUUAAAUUUUAAAUACUCAAAAAAUUUUAAAAAAAAUAAGAAAAUUUAAAAAAUUUAAAAAAAUUAAGAAAAAUUUAAAAAAUUAAGAAAAAUUUNNNNNNNNNNNNNNNNNNNNNNNNNNNNNNNNNNNNNNNNNNNNNNNNNNNNNNNNNNNNNNNNNNNNNNNNNNNNNNNNNNNNNNNNNNNNNNNNNNNNGCGGCGGCGGCGAGGGAGCCGCCCCGUUCGACCUCCCCCCCUUUUUUAAAAAAUUUUAAAAAUUUUAAAUUUUCUUAAUUUUUAAAUUUUUCUUAUUUUUUUUUAAAAAUUUUUGAAUAUUUUAAAUCUAAUUUAAUUCAUUUAUAUAUUAUUAUUUACACGUAGACACGAAACGGCGUUGUUUUUGCGUUUUCUCCGCCACGUCAACGUGCAAAACGACGCCGUUUUGGACCAAACUCGCCGGAAAAUUGCCACGUCAGCCAUUUGGCCGGAUUUUCGCCGGAGUGGCACUUAAGUGUCCUAUUUUACUCUGAUAUUGGCACUUAAGUGUACCAUUUUAAAGUUAUGGCACUUAAAUGUCCCUCCGUGCCAAGUUAUGGCACUCCAGGUGUCCCAACCUCCAAUAUUAUAUACAAAAUCAGAUUCGAUAUUAAUUGAUCUUGACUUGUGCAAUGAUAUCUGAAAGAUUCGGUUGAAUAUCCUUGUGUAUCUUUAACAACACUUAGUUGGCAUCCCAGGUUAGACACUCAGUCAAGGUUGGUAUGCUGUAUGCUGCUUCUAUCAGUUUUGUGAAGUCUGAUUUUGCAUAUGCCUUGAAUCGCUUUGUAGUAUUUUCUCCGGCCGAUCUUUGACAUAUUAUACUCUUGCAACGUGCAUAAUAUAGUUGGACAAUAGAAUCGUUGAAUUUCAUUAUGCUCGCAUAAUUUACAUAUUUCUAAGUACAAUUCUUUUGUGGGCCACUGAAAUUUAAAAGAUCCAUCCAUGUUGAGAUUGCCCGAUUGCCUGCCUGCUUCUAGAAAAGCAAUUAAAAAUUUGCUCGAAUUGGGUAUUAUAGGUACUAAUCAGUCUUUUUCCACAGUUUCUUUAAAGUUCAGGAAGAACAUUCAAGUGUUGAUAUUCAUGAGACAAUAUGAACGUUUCUCGUAUGCUUCAGCUAACCCUUUUGCGGAUGAAUUCAUCACGUGAUACUACAUUGGUUUCUGCAGCAGUUUUCACUUCCCUUCUGAUGCAAAAGAGUUGGCAAACCUCCGACUUCUUCAUGCCAACAAGACGCGCCCACGUCUGAUAAAUAAAACUUGAUGUGGUUGGUAUCCAUGGUUAUGAAGACUUCAUUAUCUCCUAGAAUGAGUCUUAACAGCUCAUCUAACACCAAUUCAGUGAGUACUGGACAUAUAAAUGAAAGUUUAUGAAGUUGCUCUUUUUAAGUUGUAAAAGAUCCUCAAAAGUUGAUAAGUAGGUGAUUAAUUUUUAAUUUCACCAAAGUCGCUCGCAUAGUACUAAUCAGCUGCGAACACAGCCCAACAACACACAACACCGCCAUGAAUAAUACAACAAGAAGGAGGUCCACGACAGGAUCGGUCAAACCAGACUCAACAAAGCUUAUUUGAUCACCCAGAUCGAGUAGAAACAUACUUAGUAGACACAGAAAGACUCGCUAUCCUUCGCAUAGACCAAGGACUCGGGUGCACUCGGCAUAACUGAUAAAACAGUCCUAAUACAGACCGGGCCAGAGCUCAAGGACCUUCUUCCAAGAAGGCCUGCUCGAGAUAUCAUCCCACCAACCGCUCACAUGCUUUCGGUCCCUUAUCAGAUACUCCUUCCCUAUCUUUCCCACCAAGUACUGGGUGAACGGAAGGUGGCUCAGGUCGGCAAGGCUAAAGAAAUUCCCUGCCAGGUACUUGCUCUUUGACAGCCUCUCCUCGUAGAUAUCCAGAACCUGACAGAGCUUGUCCUCGCUCUCUUUGAGCUGCUUCGGAUCCGGGGUAAGCCCUCUAAGCGGGCCGAUAACAACUUUGAGGACGAGGUCGAAGAUUGGCGGGUGGAAGUUCUGGGCCUCAACUUCGAGCCACUGCUCAACGAGCCCCCUCUCCUCGACUGUCUUCCCCAGCAGUUCAGUCCCUUGGUCCUUGUAUUUCUCGGCAUAAUACCUUAUGAUGGCCCGCGAUUCUGUAUGAAUUAGACUGGAUAUAUCACGGAGAGUAGACAGACAAAUCUUUAUCCCCACAUAUGAAAAGCAACAAAUAACCAGAAUGAAACCUACAAGAGACAUGCACUGUGCUUUUGAAUUUACCAGCAGAGUCUUACUCUCAUGACACUAGACCCACGGUAUAAGUGUAGAUGCAGCAGGACAUUUCAAUGUCUAUGCACUGAUCAUUCUGCUUAAACUCCAUCAAGAAUAUAACCGGAUGAAAAUGCAGGUCCAAACGGAAAAUCAGCGGCCUUUGGUCGACAUAUGAAAAGAGACAGAUCAUGAACAACUCCAGAACAGAUAUGGAGACUAAGAGCCUGGCCUUAAGAGCUUUGGAUUCAAAUCAUCUGUUCCUCAGGCAAAUGAUUAGACUUGAGAUUGAGAGUGGAUGUAUGUAACCUAAAAAGAGUGGCUGUUAUCGAGUGAACAUGCCAGUGGACUCAAUCUUUUCAACUUCCUCUGAUAUCCACUCAUUGCGGAACUCUUUAGACUAUUGCGACGCUUCACUGGCCGAUUACAACACAAAAAGCCUCUGUAAGUUAGGAACAUCGCAUGCUAAAGAACCAUCCGUAUGUCCCCGUGCUCUGAUCUCAAGACCGCAAGAAAACAGCAAUAGAAAGAAAAGAACGAUGCAAGAAGCCAAGAGUCGAGAGCAUUACCGAACAGAGUGUAGUCGCCAUCUUGAACCACAGGAAGCGAUCCGAAGGGCUACACAGGCGGGCGCGCGCGCACGAGAUCCGAAUCAGCGUCAAUCAGACAAGACACACUUUAAAUGCCAAGUACCCACGAAAGGAGACACGAUGAAAAGUCAAGCUGUCGAGAGUUUGACCGAAAGUGAAGUUGGACUUUCAAGAACGAACGGGACAGACCUGGAGCUCGAGGUACUCGGGGGCUUUGUGCUCGCCUUUGAAGAGGUCGACGCCGACGGUCUCGAACUCGACGCCCUUCUCGAUCAGGCACACAAGCACCCGCUUCGGCGACGCGUAGUCAGGGCCGUACACCUUCACCACCAUCUUCACUCCCGCUCCCUCACUCUCUCUCUCUCUCUGCUUCUUUCUUCCUUCUGGACGGACCUAGCCAGCGACUCUCUCCGCUGUGUCUCCCGGCUUUUAUAAAGAAGUCUCUUUGUUAGAGCAGCAGACAGAAGCUGCACACGUCAAUGAUGCUGCACACGUCAAUGAUGCACCAACCCACCACCAAUCCAAGCUUAGUUAAUUGGUCCCAUCACUAAAGAGUUUCGCAUUUUGCAUUUGCUUCCAUGAGUUUGAAUCCCUCUGCAAGUUAAGACUUAUCUGGAAAUACUGCGACUCUUUGGCUGUGCAUGCUAUCUGGGUAAAGUUGGGAUGGCAAGUAGGGCCUCCUUUGGUUAUAGAUAGAACUUUUUAUAUUUAUGAUAUAAAAAUCAUUUUUGUCUAAUAAUAAAUUUCUUCGAAUUUAAAUAAUUAAAUAUAAACAAUAUAUGAGUUCUAAUAUUAAAAGGGAAAUUCAAAAUAACAACGACUUUCAUUUUAUUUUUAUUUUUAUAUUUGAAUUUAUUUCUAUAUAUACAUACUUAGCAUUUAUAUCUAUAGCAUAUUUUAGGUAUUUUGGUAUAGUUAAUUUAUUAAGAAAUGAUGGAAAGGAAUAAAAAAAAAGAAAAAAAAAAAGAGAGUGAAAAUAAUAUAAAAAUAAGUAAAUAAAAUUGAAGUAGGCGAGAGAGUCUAAACACUAAUUCAGAUUCGCAAAGCUAAAUGAUAAUGUUUUCUUUCUCUUAACAGAUUUGACAUGCAUCCACUAAUUUGCCUAUUGAUGUUGUCGUAGCUCAUUUACAUUUGUCUUCAUAGUCGAACCCAUGACUCUAAAAUGCUGCAAUGACCUCAUUUGCUGUUUAAGAUUUGGAUUGUCCAAUAAUUAUGGAUUUAUUUAUGGAUGUUAUCUCCAUUUUGUCCUUUAAUGGUUUCUUUAGCAAUUAACUGUAAGUUAUUCUUAACAUCUCCCUUUGUACAUUUUCAUGUACAUUUACAUUGAUAUACUAUUCAUACCAAACAUUAGACAUGAUAGGAUAUGAAAAUAUUCGAUUUUAUUACUGUAAUUUACCACAUAAUAGACAAGAUUUUGGUAAUUUCAUAUCCUACCAUAUCAUAUUAUAUUCAGUCAUAUUUUAACUAGAAAUCCAAAUGAACAAAGGUAGCCUAAAAUUGUUAAAAUCCGUCAUGCUCCAUGGGACAUUUGUAAUCUUGAAAGAUCUGUCUUUUGUUGAUUUCUUUUGCACUAAAUUGGUGUCGCACCUAUGCUCUAUACCUUUGAUUAGUUUCGGCCGAAAAGUUUUCAAUAAUCGUCACUAGAAAAUAGUAAAAAGCACUAUGCUCAUUUUUUCACAUGGCCCACGUGCUUCUAGAAAAGGCAAUUACCAAUUUGCUCGAAUUGGGUAGUAGGUGACGGUUCAAAUUGGCCUAUGUCCGCAAGCCAUAGAUUCUAAUAAUCGGUCUUAUUUUUAAUCUAAAUUAUUCGAGGGAGUAGGAAGAUUUGGCCAAUCGAAAAUGCACACUUGAGCUGUCCUUGCGUCAUUUACAAAAUGGUUUUCUUUGUCGACUUCCUUUGCACCUGCAAUUGAGUAAACUAUUGAUCACCUAACCUCCACAAGGAAGAAAGGGGUAGUCAACUAUUAUAUAUUCAACGCCAUUACUCACCCAAAUCAAUCAUCAUGCGUGGGAAUAUAAGAAACCUCAUAACAUUUUUCAUGCGACAACAGAAUUAGAAGAGCAAAAAGCAUCAUUGCUCAAACGAAAUACUGCUAUGGGAAAGACUAUCGGUUCGAGUGUUAGAAGGGAGGUGUUUUUAGGAAGGAUCAUUUAUGUGAGGAAACUUAUAUUGGUGACAAGGGAGAUAUAAAGAGGUGGAAGGAUGCACUAAGUAAAGUAGCUGGUCUCGCCGGAAGAGAAUUGAAAGAUGGGUAGGCCACUCUUCCACUAACUUGGAAUUAUUUGUUUUCUUUAAGUUUAGUGUGCCAUGAAUGUCAUGACUAUCAUACUCUGUAUUAUGUUAGUUCAUCUGAACCAGAAUAUAUGAUUAACUCCUCCAAAACUACACUGCCUCAAUGCUACCUAGGGAACCAAUCAUCUGGAUUUCUUCAUUGUAGAUAUGAGACACAGUUCAUUCAGCAAAUCAUUGGAGAAAUCAAAGAUAAACUUGGUCCCCAGUUGUCCUAUGUUGUAGGUGUUAGGGAAAUCCCUUAUGAUGUUUUAAAGAUGACAAAAUAAAUCAACAGCUACUAACAUGUUUAAUGGUUAAGUAACAGAUUAUGUAGAUGAUAGAACAUAUAAAAGAUAUUGUCAAAGUCUAUACAUGAAAGAACUAGAAGACAGACUUUAUGUUGAAACUGAACUUAUUCAGAUUGUAUCCAGAUCUUAAGUCUAAAUCUGUUCAGAAGUAGAAUAUGUUCAGACUUACGUCCUGAUUGUAAAGUCUAUCUCAGACAGAAUAUUCUCAGACUUUACAUCCAAAACGAGAAACAAGUUCAGAACAUAGCAGAUUCAGAACGAAGCAUGUUCAGAAUGAGACAACUUGACAGAACGUAACACAAGCCCCAAACAUAUAAUGACUAGUGUUCUGGUUUGGAUUUUACAUCAAGAUAGAUUUGAUUAACUUAAUCUAAUUGAUUGACAAUUGAAUAUUGAAGACAAGAACUUUAUAUACGAAGAAGCUCUACUUAUGAAAACCAAGAUUCUGCUGGUAUGGGCAAUCAGAAUUAAUUUAGGAUUAUACUUCUAUCAUUCAACGGCUAUUAAAUCUUUUAGAUACAGAUUUGUCCAAUGGGUAGAUUAGAAGACGAUCCUCUAGAUAUUGUCCAAUGGCUAGUUUGGAAGUGGAUGAGUAUUUAAAGAGAUCAAGAACCGAUGAGCAAGUAAGAAAUGGAGUGUAGAAUUUAUAAUUCCAAAGUCUGAACGACCUUCAAUCAUACACUUGUCUUUAGUGAGCUUAAACGUUUGUGAUUGUGAAAGAAAUACCAAAACAAUGACUUUGUGAGAUAGUGUGAUUUACCACCGAAUGUUUACACUUAAAGUUAUAAUCUCUUGUUGAUCACAUAGUGGAAUCCAGCCAGAAGGCUGUCAGCGUGGGAGAGUGGACAUAGCCUUGAUUUAAGCCGAACCACUAUAAAUUUUGUGUUUUUAUUAUCUUCCCUGAACUCCUUUAUUUUGUUCGUAGUUCUAUUUAACUACUAAAGUUUGAACUCGCUCAAAAUCUGUUGUUCUUCAAACUCAGUUUCAAAAGCAAAAUAUUUUUAUUACUUUUUGCGAAAAAAUUUCUUCACACCUAUUCACUCCCCUCUAGAUGUUCAUACCAGUACUUUCAGUAGGCAAUCUUGUGAGAAUGCAUUCCUGAGUUGCAAAUGUAGUUGAAUAUAUAUGCUUGGACGAGAGUGAUGUACACAAUAUUGGCAUAUGGAGAAUGGGUGGCAUAGGCAAAACAACUGUUGCACGAACAAUUUUUGACAAAAUCUGUGGCUGAUUUGAUGAUGGAUGUUGCUUUCUUGCCAAUGUCAAAGAAAUUUCAAAAAAGAAUGGUCUGGUAUAUCUGUAAAACCAGUUCCUCAGUGAUAUUCUCCAAGAGGACAAUUUGACAAUCAAGGAUGAUCACAGAGGAGCGAACAUAAUAAGAGAACAACUGCGACAUAAAAAAGUUCUUGUUAUGCUUGAUGACGUGGACAAAAAUGAGCAGCUAGAAAAACUAGCAAGAGGUCUUGAAUGGUUUGGACAUGGGAGUAUGAUCAUUAUAACAACCAAAGAUGAACAUUUGCUUCUCCAAUAUGAUGUAAAUUCCAUAUAUAGGGUGGAGGGACUAUCAUUUUAUGAGGCUCACCAACUAUUUUGUUCAAAAGCUUUUAGAAGUGACCAUCCUCCAGUAGAGUUCGAGGAGCUCACAAACCAAGUUAUUGAAUAUGCUGGUGGUCUUCCUCUAGUCCUUGAUGUCGUAGGUUCCUUUUUGGCUUAUAGGAGCUUGAAGCAAUGGAAGAGUGCACUAGCCAAACUCAAGGAAUGUCCAAAAGGGAAAUUUUUUUAUCGGCUUAAGUUAAGUUAUGAUGGACUAUAGCAGAAAGAGAAGGAGAAUUUCCUAGAUAUUGCAUGUUUUUUCAAGGGAAAGGAGAAACCUUACGUUACAGAAGCUCUGGACAAUUGCGGUUUGUAUAUAGAUAUUGGAAUCGAAGCCCUUGUCAAUAAAGCUCUUAUCCAAAUUGUGGGCAACAAACUGUGGAUGCAUGAUUUACUAUAAGAGAUGGCUUGGGAAAUUGUUCGUUGAGUCUCUUGAAGAGCUAGGAGAACGAAGUCGAGUUUGGCUUUUUGAGGAUGUAUGCCAUAUUCUGUCAAAAAACUCGGUGAGUAUCUAUAAAAUUAAUUUGCAAGCAUGCCAAUUUGAUAGAGUUUAAAAAGAACUUGCUAGUCAUGUAUUGACACUAUAUGAGUUGUUUAUCAGUAAACUAGAAAAGUCAAAGCCAUAGUCUUGCAAUUUGAGGACCAUAGAACAAUGCGCUUGAGUGGAGGGUCCUUCAUUAACAUGACUAAAUUAAGAUUGCUUGAUAUUCGGGCCAUCCACCUCUCUUCUGGGUUCAAGCACCUUUCAAAUGAACUAUGCCUGCUAAGAUGGGACAAUUGCAGUCUUAAAUCAUUUCCACCAAGUUUUCUUCCAAAGAAUCUUGUCGAACUCCAUGUGCAGGAUAGCCUCCUUUGCAGCAUUUGGAGAGGGGAAAAGGUUGGAAUUAGUACUAAUGCAUGUUAACCUCAAUGGUUCCAAAUUAUUCGUGGAGACUCCAAACUUCAUACAUGUCCCAAAUCUAGAGAGGCUAAUUCUCAAAGGUUGCAAAGUAUUAUCUAAAGUUCAUCCUUCAAUUGGAAAUCUAGAAAGACUCAGUCUACUUGACUUAGGUGAUUGUGAAAACCUCAUGGGACUUCCAAAUAGUCUAGGUAAUCUAAAAUCUCUCAGAGUUCUUAAUCUAUGUGGAUGUUCAAAUCUUGAAGAAUUGCUUGAUAGCAUCGGGGGCUAAGAGUGCUUAGAGGAGCUUGAUAUUAGUGAAGUGCCAUGACACGCCUCCCAUCCAGCUUGGUGUUCUUACAAAAUCUGAAAAAAAAAAAAAUUACGCUUUCAUGUUAGUAAAAGGAGGCCACAAAAUUGUUAGAGGACACUGACCAAACGCUGAGAAGAGCUCUGAACUCUUGAAGUCUGAGGUUGCCUUCAUUUUCAGGGCUAUCCUCUUUGAUAGAGUUGGAUCUAAGUGGCUGUAGAGUUUUGGAAGGAGAAACUCCCAGUGAUAUUAACUGCUUACCCUCCUUGAGGUCUUUAGACCUAACCGAAAACAGUUUUAUCACCAUACCUACAAGCAUCGGACAUGUCUUUGGCCUGGAAUCGCUUUGCAGCAUUUUCUUCGACCCAUGUUUGACAUAUUAAAUACUCUUGCAGCGUGCAUAAUGUUGGAUAUAGUUGGAUAGUAGAAUCGUUGAAUUUCAUUAUGCUCGCAUAAUUUACAUAUUUUUAAUUAUAAUUCUUUUGUGGGCCAUUUGAAAUUUAAAAGGUCUAUCUUUCGUCAAUUUUUUCUUCACUGGAUGAAUGUCGAACCUAUGCUCAACAGUCAAUUUACGUUACUUGUUUUGGUUGAAAAAUUUCCAACAAUCUUGGUAGAAACGGCAAAAGCAUUUUGCUUGUCCAUGUUGAUAUUGCCCGAUUGCCUGUCUGCUUCUAGAAAAGCAAUUACAAAUUUGCUCGAAUUGGGUAUUGGGGAUACUAAUCGGUCUUUUUCUGCAAUUUCUUUAAAUUUAGGAAGAAUGUUCAAGUGUUGAUAUUCAUGAGACAAUAUGAACUUUUCUCGUAUGCUUCAGCUAAUCUUUUUGGGGAUGAACUCAUUGUGUUAUGCUACUUUGUUUUCGGGAAAAGUACCAAAAAAGUCCUAAGCCUUUUGCAUUGGUACCAAUUUAAUCAUAAACUUUUCAAUUGGACCAAUUUAGUCAUAAACAUUUUGCGUUUGGUACUGAUUUAGUUCAUCCGGCCAUUCUCUACCGGAAAAGGCUUAUGUGGACUCCAAGUCAGUGCUGGCCGGCAUUGCUGGCGCUGACAUCCAGCACUGACAUGGAUGCCGAAGUGCAAAACUACGUCAUUUCGCUUAAAAAAAUUAUUUAAAAAAAAUUAAAAAGGGACUUUUUUACACCCAAAACACAGCAUAUCGUUUACCCUAAAAUUGAAGACGCUCUGCCCACGAUCUUCACCCAACGUACGCCCAAACCCUAUUAUGAUCUCCCCCCAAAAUUCUCAGCAACUUGCUCUAGAUUCAAUCUCAUCUUUCCAAUUUCUUGAAGCCAAGUUGUUCUUCCACCAAUCGCUUUCAUUAAUCAAGCCCCUUUCAGUUGAGGGCUUCAUCCAUCACAAUCCCAGACUCGCCCAUCUUUAUGGGCAAAGACUCAAUUCGCCCACAACCCCGUUGAGACUCGACUCAUUGUCACGACCCGACUCAUCCGUCACAAUCUGAAGCGAACAUGAGUAGGCGUUGUGGUCCCGGUUUGAUUGUUUUGUCGGCAGCGUUGAGCGACAACUUGACGUGGCAUCCUGAAGUUAGCAGAGAAUGUGAAAAGUAUGUUGCCGUGGUCCCCAAUUGAGUGUGUUGUCCUCUUUUUAUUUUAUAUAAUCAAUUUGCCUUGAUUUCUCCACGUAUGUCGUUGUUGGUUGGAAGAGAGAAAUCCAUCACAUUUACUGUCAAGUACCUGUGUGUAGUAGGGAAUAUAACACUUAAGUCUAGCCAAAUCAAUUUCUAAUAAAGCAUGAUAUGAAGAGAAAGCUUAUGUAUGCUCGCGUCUGGCCAAAUUCUUCAUGUGUAUAAUCAUAUGGUUGCUGGAUUCCUGUGUUUUUAUGCACAAUAUGAAGAGAAAGCCUUUGUUUCCGUGCACUUUUUCCUAUUCUUGUACAAGCUUUUUAUUACUUGAGGCAUGCACAAUCACAAUUAAAUAAUUGACAUGAGCAUACAUGUAUUCGGUUUCUCAAUUCAUUGAGGAUCUCUUUUGUGGAGUAGCCAUAGAUUUAUUAGCUGGGGCACUUGCAAACCUCACUGUCAAUUGUGUCCAAAUGAUGAUUAUUUUACGAAACGAGUAAAGGUUCAUGGUGGUUUUGUCAACAAAAGAAAAAUACAGAAAGAGGGGUUCAUAGUUUGGCUUUGAGUACUAACGUUUGAUAACAAAGAGAGAGACUGCAAUUCCAUAUAUUGUAAAAGUUAGUUUUAUUGAUCAAGUCCACACUAUUGACUGUACUCUAAUUUUUUUGAAUCCAUUAACACUUUUGCUUUGGAAGUUUUGGUUUUGAAUCUUUGGAUGUUUUUGAUUUUGAAUUUUUAGAUGUUGAUCACCUCUGAAUCCGAGUAGAUGAUCACUACUUUUUCUUCUAGAAACAUGAUGUAUAGAGUGCUACAUAGUAUGGGACUUACAAGUUCUAUGUAUUGCCUUGCUUAUAACAUACGUUACUUUUUUUCUUUUCUUUUUUCAUGUAGGGUCAAGAUGAGCGAAAAAUCAGCAUGGAUCUGCCUUUUCCAUGGUGGAACUUUAUCUCGUCGCCCAAUGCUUGAAUAUGUUGGAGGCAAGUUUGACUUGGUAAAAGUUGAUAUUAGUUCAACAAGCUACGAAAGCUUCAUUAGAGACAUCGAGAAUGGGGUAAAUAGUACAUUUGAAAAGCUUUAUUUUAAGAUUCCUGGAAAGUCACUAGAAGAGGUGUUGACAUACAUAUGGAAUGAGAAUAGAGUAGUCGAUUUAGUUUUUAGUUAUUUGCAUCAUGGGUUAAUUGAGUUAUAUGGAGAAAAUUUUACGACCAAUGAGGCAGCUGAGGGUGAUGGUCAAGGUGCCAAUGUGGGUGUGGAUAAGGGUAUUGGUCAGAGGGUCGGUGAGGAUGCUGGUCAAGGGGUUGGUGAGGGCGCUGGCACUAGUGUUAGUUUAAGUAAUGAGACCAUGAUUGAGUACAAGAGUGAUUUAGAUCCUGAUGAUUUAGUUAAUGAAGAUGAUUAUAUCGUGGAUGAUGACGAUGACGAUGAGGCAGACUUCCUUGUCGAUGUAAAAUUCUUGACUGAUAAUGAUGAUUAUGAUAAUGAGAAGCUUCUAGAAGCAAGGAAGAACAUGACAAAGUUCCAUGGGAAUGCCAUAAAUGAUUUCAUUACAAGGGAAUCAUCCACGGGGUUGGUGCCAUCACAAAGAUUAGAUGUGAAUAAUGUUACUAAUAUUGGAGCUAAUUAUGAAACAGAGUACUAUGAAACAGAUGGAAAUGAGAGUUUGGAGUCUAAUGAAGGAGAAGAAGAUGAUGAUUUUACUAGGAGGAGAAGUAGGUUUCCAAAGCAUGAUUCUAAUUGUGUUGUGCCUAUGUUUAUUGUGUCUAUGGCAUUUGAAAGUAGUAGGCAAUUCAAAGAUGCUCUAAUAAAGUAUUCAGUGGCUAAGCAUAAAGAGAUAAAAUUUGUAAAGAAUGACUAGAAAUUUGUCAGAGCAAAAUGUGCACAUGAAAAUUAUCCUUUGAAGAUUUCUAGAUCUGUCGAUACUCAUACCGGAUCAUUUCAUGUAAAGGCUUAUCAUUCAGAACAUACCUGUAGCAUAAGUUUCAAGAAUCGGAGGUUGACGAGUUCUUGGUUGGCCAAACACUAUCUUCCUACAAUAAGAGCAAUGCCAACUAUCAAGACUAUUGCUUUCAAGGAGCUUAUCAAUGAGCAACUGGGCAUAGAUGUGAGUAUCAUACAAUGCAAGAAGGCUAAAUUGUUGGCUUAUCAAGUAUUGAUGGGAAACUAUAAGGAGGAAUAUGCAAAGUUGUGGGAUUAUGCAGAGGAGCUUAGGGAGAGAAAUGCUAGGAGUACUAUUAUAUUGAAGGUUGAAAAGUCUGAUAUGCAAUCUAAGGUAUUAUUUGAGAGAAUGUACAUAUGUUUUGCUAUUUGUAAGAAAUGAUUCAUUGAUGGAUGUAGGAAAGUUAUGGGAUUAGAUGGUUGCUUCUUAAAAGGAAUUUGUCAAGACCAAAUCUUAUGUGCUGUUCGAAGAGAUGCAAACGAUCAGAUGUUCCCAAUUGCUUAGGCGGUUGUCCGAGUCGAGAGUAGCGACAGCUGGCGUGGUUCUUUACAAAUUUGAUAUAUGACCUCAACAUUUCAUCCUCAUAUUUACAAGGUUGGGUCAUAAUCAAUGAUAAACAAAAAGUAAGUUCAUUAUUAUUAUUAUUAUUAUUAUUAUUAUUAUUAUUAUUAUUAUUAUUAUUAUUAUUAUUUUGUUAUGCCACUAUAGUGACGCUUGUAAUAUAUGUUUCAUAUUAUGAUCAUCUUUUGCAGGGCCUUGUACAAGCUGUGGCUCAUUUGUUGCCUGCAGCUGAGCAUAGAAUGUGUGUGAGACACAUCUAUGCCAAUUGGAGCAAAAAGUAUAAAGGGAUACAAAUGCAAAGAUUGUUUUAGAAGUGUGCUAAAAGUAGUUCGAUGAUAGAGUUUGAUGAACACUCUCAAGCAUUGAAGAAAAUUAAUGAUACCGCAUAUCAUGACUUAGUUCAAACAGAGCCAAAGCACUAGUCUAGAGCCUUUUUUACAACUGAUGUAAAAUGUGACAUCGUUGACAACAAUUUAUGCGAGGCAUUCAAUGGAAGAAUUAUACAUUCUAGGUGUAAGUCCAUUUACAGUAUGUUGGAGGAAAUUCAAAUAAUAAUAAUGACAAGGAUGCAUACACAGAGGAAUGCAUAUGCUAAAUGGAGAAAGGACUGUGGUCCAAGAAUUGUAAGAAAGUUAGAAAAAGAUAGAGCCGGUGCGACAUAUUGCCAAGUGAUCUGGAAUGGUGAGACUGGAUAUGAGGUAAUGGAUAAGGGUGAGAAAUAUGAGGUGGAUGUGUUUAAGAGAGAUUGUUCUUGUCGAAGAUGGCAGCUUACUGGCAUCCCUUGUCCCCAUGCCAUUUCUGCUUUAAAUCAUAGGCAAGAUGAUACAUAUGAUUAUCUUGAUGAAUGUUACAAGAAGGCUAAGUUUUUAGAUGCAUAUAAAAAUAUGAUGAUGCCAAUUCGAGGGCAGAAAUUUUGGAAACAGACUCAUAGAGAGCCACCUGAACCACUUCCAGCCAAGGUCAAACCUGGUAGACGUAAACUGAAAAGAUUGAGGGAGGAAGGUGCGGUGGCACUUGGAACUAAGAUAUCGAGGAUCGGAAUGAAAAUGACAUGUCAAGCUUGCUUGAAGACAGGACACAACAGUUUAACAUGUCCAGCUAAGAAGAUUGGGUCUACAUCAUCACAAACACGAUUUUCAAGGCAAAACAUUUUGGUUAGUAUCUCCAUUUUCAUUGUGUUAUGCUUGUUUUGUUAAUAAAACUAUAAGCAAAUAUACUUUUUGUAGGUACAGAGACGUACAGGUAAAGUGACAAGUGGUAGUGGUGGCGGCCCUACCGGUGUGAAUCCUACGGUCAACGCAAAAGCCAAAAGUUGCUCAAAGAGGUAGAAGUGGCGAGAUGUGGGGGUAGAUUUAGUAGUGAUAUGUUUUAGUUGUAACUUUUUGUGAAGAUAGGUCAAGUGAAGAUUUUCUUUUAAUGUAAAUUUUUUAUCGGCACACUCUGGGUUCUUGCCUUUUGAAGAAAAAAAACACCCAUGUUGCACUAUCUUCUAGACUUGAUUGAGUUCAACUAAGACAGUACUACUUCAAAGCAGCAACAAAUAUUCGCAUUUUGAUGCCAUGAACUGUUAAUGAAUAUCAUCUCUUGUUUCAAUAUACUUGUUGUAAGUUCUAGGCAUGAGUUUUGCAUUGGUGUUUUUUUUUCCUCUGUACUUCCUUAAUAACCAUACAGCAACUUGGAUAAUGAUGUCCCACAUAUGACAGGUUGUUUGAACCUUUAAUAAGAAAUUGUCUUUUUUUACUUUUUGGUAGCCAUUUGGACGUAAGAUUGUGUGUACGUUGUUUGCUUGUUUGGUAGCCAUUUGGACAUAAGAUUGUGUGUAUGUUGUUUGCUUGUUUAAUAUUUUGUGGUUAUUUGUUCUCGAAGUAGUGAGAUUGUAUUGCUUUUUUUUUUCCUCAUAUUGUACUCCAUUAAUCAUAAUAGCAGGUCGUGACAUCAAGAACGAUAUGUCUUUGGUGUUGAGAUUGAGAAACAAAUUGCAUAUGACACAAGAUAGUGCAAACAACUUUCACUUUGUUCAUGUUCAUGUUCCAACAUGUGGACAAAUACAAAAUAUAUUGCAAAAAUGUACAAAAAUAUAUUAUAUAACAAGAUCAACAUUAACACCAAGCUCAGUACAUCAUUCAUCUUCGAAUUUCCAAAUACCAUGUUUCCUAGAAUUACUGUAAAGACCCACGACACAAUCAACAUGGUCUUCAAUGUCGACAUUUGUUUUUUUUCAACAUUGCUCCGGUGAAAUUGUGUUGACACACUUCUUGUUGAUGGACACAUUUUUGCAUCAACCCAAAUAAAUAAAUAAAUAAAUAAAACCGCAACUUUCUCUGAUUUUAUAUUUCGGAUAGCCGUGAUAUCUUCUUCCUCGAUUCUCCUUCAUCUUUACUGUUUUAUCCUGUAAAAAAGUUAAACAACAGCACCUUAGCAUAUGUUACAUGGCUUAACCUCAAUAGCAACAAUAUAACUCAUUCCAUCUUGAAAUUAGUCUCAACAACAAGAAAUUAGGUCCUAAAUGCACCUCAUAAUGCUGACCUAAAAUUCCUGUCCCUAUUAGGAUACAACAAGCUUACCAAAAGAAAAUACAAAUAAGAACUUCAAAAAUUUGUUUCAUGCUUCUAAGACAAAUGCUUAACAGACUACAUCAGAGCAUAUAUAUUCAUGCUUAGCCAACGCCAACAUCAGAGUAAUUUUCCUCCCAAAUUGUAUGCAUGAUAUGGAUCUCGAUUUCCCAAAAACUAAGCAAAUGUCAACGUCGACUACAAAGUUUAGGCAAAUGUGAUUUCGACUCCAAUUAAGCCAAUAGUUCUUGGAGGGAGAUCAGAAUCCGCAAACACAGCGUGCAAGCAACGUCGCCAUUUGAGCCAUCCGCAAACUAUGGUACCAUAUUUGGAAGAUGAAGACCCCCCUCUAAAAUUAGGAUUUUUCUUUGGAGUAUAUGUCAAAAUGCUCUUCCCACAACAGAAAAUCUUACCUCGGCCAGCAUGCCUAAUCUAUGAUCAAGAAGCAGAAUCAGUGGAACAUAUAUCCUUCCUUUGUCUAUGGACGAACUCAAUUUGGUCGGAUCCUGAAGUAAAAAUCCAAAUUUCACGUCAAAACCUUUUGCGAAUUGAGGUUUGGCUCCAACACAUAAUUGAACAGCCGGGAAAUUCACUGACUUUCGAAGAAAUUACAACCCUUUUGUGAUUCAUUUCAAAAGCAAUGAAUGACUUUGUAUUUCAAAGGUUAAACCCCAAAUUCGAGAAACCCUAAUUGACUCAGCACAAGCAUUACUCAGCAAUUUCAGCAAGUGGAACAAGCAAAGUUCGAAACUUUACAUGGGAAUGACUCAAUUGACUCAAAGAUUGGAUCCCAUUGAAGCCUCUUACCUUUAAAAAUCAACAUCGACAGAGCAUUUAUGGAAGGAGCAACGGUAGUGGCCAUCUUGGGAGUUCUUCGAGACGCGUUGGGAACCCUUCUCGACGGUUUCGCAAAGACGAUUCCAGCUUCAAUGGCGAUCCAGAUGGAGUACUUGGCCUUGAUUGAAGCUCUGAAUUUUUUUCGGUCAAAGAGAGAGAGAUGGAGGCGAUUGGUGGAAGAACAACUUGGCUUCAAGAAAUUGGAAAGUCGAGAUUGAAUCUAGAGCAAGUUGCUGAGAAUUUUUGGGGUAGAUCAGAAUAGGGUUUGGGCGUACUUUGGGCGAAGUUCGUGGGCGGAGCGUCGGUAGAGCAUGGGCAGAGCAUCUUCAAUUUUAGGGUAAACGAAAUGCUGCGUUUUGGGUGUAAAAAAGUCCCUUUUGAAAAAAAAAUUAAUAAUUUUUUUAAGCGAAACGACGUAGUUUCGCACUCCGGCGUCCAUGUCAACACCGGCAACGCCAGCCGGCGUUGACUUGGAGUCCACAUAAGCCUUUUCUAGUAGAGAAUGGCCGGAUGAACUAAAUCAAUACCAAACGCAAAAGGUUUAGGACUAAAUUGGUCCAAUUGAAAAGUUUAAAACUGAAUUAGUAUCAAUGCAAAAGGUUUACGAUUUUUUUGGUACUUUUCCCUUUUGUUUUCUGCAACAGUUUUGGCUUUUCUUUCGAUGCAAAGGAGUCGGCAAACCUCCGUCUUCUUCAUGCCAACAAGACGCGCCCACAUCUGAUAUAUAAAACUUGAUGCGGUCGGUAUCCAUGUUUAUAAAGAGUUCAUUAUCUCUUAGAAUGAGUCUUAACAGCUCAUCUAACACCAAUUCAGUGAGUACUGGACAUAUAAAUGAAAGUCUAUGAAGUUGCUCCUUUCAAGUUGUAAAAGAUCCUCAAAAGUUGAUAAGUAGGUGAUUAAUUUUUAAUUUCACCAAAGUCGCUCGCAUAGUACUAAUCAGCUGCGAACACAGCCCAACAACACACAACACCGCCAUGAAUAAUACAACAAGAAGGAGGUCCACGACAGGAUCGGUCAAACCAGACUCAACAAAGCUUAUUUGAUCACCCAGAUCGAGUAGAAACAUACUUAGUAGACACAGAAAGACUCGCUAUCCUUCGCAUAGACCAAGGACUCGGGUGCACUCGGCAUAACUGAUAAAACAGUCCUAAUACAGACCGGGCCAGAGCUCAAGGACCUUCUUCCAAGAAGGCCUGCUCGAGAUAUCAUCCCACCAACCGCUCACAUGCUUUCGGUCCCUUAUCAGAUACUCCUUCCCUAUCUUUCCCACCAAGUACUGGGUGAACGGAAGGUGGCUCAGGUCGGCAAGGCUGAAGAAAUCCCCUGCCAGGUACUUGCUCUUUGACAGCCUCUCCUCGUAGAUAUCCAGAACCUGACAGAGCUUGUCCUCGCUCUCUUUGAGCUGCUUCGGAUCCGGGGUAAGCCCAAUAAAAGGGCCAAAAACAAUUUUGAGGACAAGGUCGUAGAUUGGCGGAUGGAAGUUGUGGGCCUCGACUUCGAGCCACUGCUCAACGAGCCCCCUCUCCUCGAUUGUCUUCCCCAGCAGUUCAGUCCCUUGGUCCUUGUAUUUCUCGGCAUAAUACCUUAUGAUGGCCCGCGAUUCUGUAUGAAUUAGACAGGAUAUAUCACAGAGAAUAGACAGACAAAUCUUUAUCCCCACAUAUGAAAAGCAACAAAUAACCAGAAUGAAACCUAAAAGAGGCAUGCACUGUGCUUUCGAAUCUUCCAGCAGUCUUACUCUCAUGACACUAGACCCACGGUAUAAGUGUAGAUGCAGCAGGACACUUCAAUGUCUAUGCACUGAUCAUUCUGCUUAAAGUCCAAUCAAGAACAUGACCGGAUGAAAAUGCAGGUCCAAACUGAAAAUCGCCUUUGGUCGACAUACGAAAAGAGGCAGAUCAUGAACAACUCCAGAACAGAUAUGGAGACUAAGAGCCUGGCCUUAAGAGCUUUGGAUUCAAAUCAUCUGUUCCCGAGGCAAAUGAUUAGACUUGAGAUUGAGAGUGGAUGUAUGUAACCUAAAACGAGUGGCUGAUAUCAGGUGAACAUGCCGGUGGACUCAAUCUUUUCAACUUCCUCUGAUAUCCACUCAUUGCAGAACUCUUUAGACUAUUGCGACGCUUCACCGGCCGAUUACAACGCAAACAGCCCUAGUAAAUUAGGAACAUCUGCACGCUAAAGAACCAUCCGUAUGUCCCCGUGCUCUGAUCUCAAGACCGCAAGAAAACAGCAAUAGAAAGAAAAUAACGAUGCAAGAAGCCAAGAGUCGAGAGCAUUACCGAACAGAGUGUAGUCGCCAUCUUGAACCACAGGAAGCGAUCCGAAGGGCUACACAGACGCGCGCGCACACACGAGAUCCGAAUCAGCGUCAAUCAGACAAGACUACCCACGAAAGGAGACACAAUGAAAAUUCAAGCGAUCAAGAGUUUGACCGAAAGCGAAGUUGGAGUUUCAAGAACGACCGGGACAGACCUGGAGCUUGAGGUACUCGGGGGCUUUGUGCUCGCCUUUGAGGAGGUCGACGCCGACGGUCUCGAACUCGACGCCCUUCUCGAGCAGGCACACCAGUGCCCGCUUCGGCGACGCGUAGUCAGGUCCGUACACCUUCACCACCAUCGUCACUCUCGCUCUCUCUCUGUGCUUCUCUCUUCCUUCUUGACGGACCUAGUCAGCGACUCUCUCCGCUGUGUCUCCGUGGCGCUAUAAAGAGGUCUCUUUGUUAGAGCAGCAGAAGAAGGUGCACAAGUCAAUGAUGCACCAACCCACAAUUAAUCCAAGGUUAGGUAAUUGGUCCCCAUCAUUAUGAAGUUUCGCAUUUCGCAUUUGCUUCCAUGAGUUUGAAUCCCUCUGUAAGUUCAACUUAUGUGGAAAUACCGCGACUCUUUUGGCUGUGUAUGCUAUCUGGGUAAAGUUGGGAUGGCAAGUAGGGCCUCCUUUGGCUGUCAAGGGAUUUAUUGCCCUAGAUUAAAAAUAUCCCAUAAAAGAGAUGAAAUAAAUAUAGAUAGAAUUUUUUAUAUUUAUGAUAUAAAAAUCAUUUUUGUCUAAUAACAAAUUUCUUCGAAUUUAAAUAAUUAAAUAUAAACAAUAUAUGAGUUCUAAUAUUAAAAGGGAAAUUCAAAAUAACAACGAUUUUCAUUUUAUUUUAUUUUUAUUUAUCCGAAUUUAUUUUCUAUAUAUACAUACUUAGCAUUUAUAUCUAUCACAUAUUUUAGGUAUAUUGGUAUGGUUAAUUUAUUAAGAAAUGAUGGAAAGGAAUUAAAAAAAAAAGGAAACAAAACAAAAGAGUGAAAAUAAUAUAAAAAUAAAUAAAUAAAAUUGAAGUAGGCGAGAGAGUUGAAACACUAAUUAAGAUUCGCGAAGGUAAAUGAUCAUGUUUUCUUUCUCUUAGUAGAUUUGACAAGUGUUGACUAAUCCACCUAUCAAUGUUGUCAUAGCUCAUUUAGGUUUGUCGUCAAAAUCGAAUUCAUGACUUUGAAAUGUUGCAAUGAGCUCAUUUGUUAUUUAAGAUUUGGAUUGUCCAAUAAUUAUGCAUUUAUUUAUGGAUGUUAUCUCUGUCUACUUAUGGUUUCUUUAACAAUUAAUGUAAGAUAUUCUUAACAUCUCCAUUUGUACAUUUUCAUGUUCAUUUAUAUUGAUAUACUAUUCCUAGCAAAUAUUUGACAUGAUAGGAUAUGAAAAUAUUCAGUUUUAUUACAACAAUUCACCACAUAAUAGAUAAGAUUUUGUUAAUUCCAUAUCUUACCAUAUCACAUUCUAUUCAAUCAUAUCGUAAUUAGAAAUCCAAAUGAACAAAUACACCUAAAAUUGUUAAAAUUUGUCAUGCUCCAUGGGACAUUUGUAAUCUUGAAAGAUCUGUCUUUUGUCGAUUUCUUUUGCACUAAAUUGGUGUCGCACCUAUGCUCUACACCUUUGAUUAGUUUCGGCCGAAAGUUUUCAAUAAUUGUCACAAGAUGAAAAGCACCGUGCUCAUUUUUUUCACAUGGCCCACCUGCUUCUGGAAAGGCAAUUACCAAUUUGCUCGAAUAGGGUAGUAGGUGAGAGGUCAAAUUGGCCUAUGUCCGCAAGCCAUAGAUUCUAAUAAUCGGUCUUCUUUUCAAUCUAAAUUAUUCGAGGGAGUAGGAAGAUUUGGCCAACCGAAAAUGCACACUUGAGCUGUCCUUGCAUCAUUAACAAAAUGGUUUUCUUUCUCAACUUCCUUUGCACCUGCAAUUGAGUAAACUAUUGAUCACCUAACCUCCACAGGAGAACAAGCAAGAAAGGGGUAAUCGAUUAUUAUAUGUUCGACGCCAUUAUUCACCCAAAUCAAUCAUCGCGAGUGAGAAUUUAAGAAACCUCAUAACAUUUUUCAUGUGACAACGGAAUUAGAAGAGCAAAAAGCAUCAUUGUUCGGACGAAAUACUGCUAUGAGAAAGACUAUCGGUUCGAGUGUUAGAAGAGAGGUGUUUUUUGGAAGGAUCAUUUAUGUGACUCUCUCUCCUCUGAAACUUUUUCGUAUUUGAUUCGUCAAACCUAAUUGCAAAAGUAAACCGUGAUAAUUUCACCCUGCAAUGCUGGUCAAGUACGCUGCUUUGGUUGGCUUCCUGGCUGCCCACUGAUUAGGGCGAGUCCUGAAAAUUACUGUCUUGGAUUGAAUCAAGCCGAGGAAUGCGGAGAAACCUUAUAACGAAUAUUGAUCUCCUGCUGAUGCUCAGAGGCACACCAUCGUAAAAGACAAAUCGUAAUAUUUGGUCUUUCUUUGUUUUAUUUGGUCAAAAGUGGGCUUUUUCAUAUUUAAAGAAAGGAGAAAAGAAGAGUAAUAAUGGGACAGCCCGCACCGAGAGAGAAAGGAAAAGGAAACGCGAUAGAAAAGGAAGACGAGAGGGAAAAGGUAAAGAGGAAGAACUAGCGCACACACCUUGGAAUUAUCGUCAGGUUGGAUUGACUUCAUUUUUAUGAUCAGAAUUUACGGCAUUUGUUUGUUUAUUCGGAGUAGUUUUCAAAAUCAAGAUACAAAUUCGAAAUCAUGUGAAAUUUAAACUACGAAUUCAGUUUUUGAGUUGUUAGAUGUGGAAUUGCAUGGAAAUCAUGAUUAGGGCGUUAUGGAGUCAUGAAAUAUGAUGGGAAUUCCUUACCAAAAUUAUUUGAAGUAACUUUUAAAUCAUAUUUGAUGGGAUUUAUUUGAAGUAACUUUUUAGUCGAAGUGAACUUUAGAAAUUUCUACAGAGCUCUACAUUGUGAUUAGCUUUGAUUCAUCGCAAUGGGCGAGCGAUUUGUUGUGCAUGGGUGUAAUUUUGUUAGGGAUUAAACUUAGUUCAGCCAAUUCGUGGUUGAGAUAGUGUUUUACUUGAUUUUGAUGUAAAUUCUAAUUUAAUUUAUAAAAUUACAAGAUCGUCAGCUCUUUUGAUUUUGGGUAUUUUCAAGUGAAUGAUACUAUCCCUUUUUUGAAUUUCUAAACUCAUAUGUUGAAAAUGAAAGGGAUUAGACAUAUUAUGUGUAAAGUAUGAUUUAAUUAAAUGGCAGAAAUGAUGUUCAUUGCAUAUUUGAUACAUAAAAUUUGAAUCGGGUAUUUAUUGCCCUUUUGAUUAUUUGAAAUAGCGUGGAAAGCAUUUUUGGAAACAAUUUACGAGUUGAUUAUUAUGAAAUAAUUUGGGAAGUGCUUUAUUGCAUAAAAGUUAUAUGUAUUGAUUUGUGAAAUUGAUUUAUAAAGGUAUUAUAUUGCAAAAGGAUAUAUGUUUGAUAUUAUGAAAACCAUUUAUGAUAUCGAUUCUGGAUUAGUUUUGAGGAAGAAAUUGAUUUUUGAAAGGAUAUAUGUUUUGGUUUGUGUCAAAGUAUUUUGAUUAUGGGAUGGAUCUGGGUUUGGUAUUGUGGAUUAUUAGAAUAUGAUGGUUUGAUUCUUAUUAUUGUUGCAAACUUAGUUAGGAGUUUUUAAGGCUUAAGGAUAUUAUUAUGGGUCAAACCACUAGCUGCUAAUAGGCGGAGACAUUGCCUUGGUCCUCUUUCACCAAUCGUGAUUAUGGUUGAAUAUUAAGCAUAAAAUGAAUCAGUGAAAUAGCUUAUUGAUGUGUGGAGCGAGUUUCAAGAACAGAGACAGGCCUGAACUUGAGGAAUUCAGGGGCUCUGUUCUCGUCCUUGAAGAUAUUGAUGGGAACGGUCUCGAACUCGACGCCUUCUCGACCAGGCACACCAGCACUCGCUUCGGAUUUGCAUAAUCAGGCCCGUACACCUUCACCACCAUUUUUUCUCUCUUCUUCUCUCUUGUCGACGGACCAGUUGAUUUCCAAAUAUCUUUCAGGAUCGACUCUCUCCUUCUGCAUCUGGGUUUUUAAAGGAAGCCCUUUUCAGAGGAUUAAACCAUGUUGCACACGACACCGUCAUGCACCAACAUACUGCUCGCGACCCGAUUCCUUUGGGGAUCCAAGGUUAGAUAAUCGGUCAACGUUGGUAUGCUACUAAUUACCUUUGUCGAAUUUUACUUCGCAUAUGCCUUGGAAGGCUUUGCAACAUUUCCUCUGACUUAUCUUUCAUAGAUUCUUCUCUGGCAAUGCGCAUGCUAUGACAUAUUUGGACGGUAGACUUGAAAUUCAUUAUGCUCGCACAAAUUUCCGCAGAGAAAACGACAGUCUUUAAAACUUUAGCCUAAGUACAACGUCAUCUUUGACUUUUAUUAAUUUAGUGAAUUCCUUGAAUUUCUAAUGUCCAAUCUAAUCCUUAAACCCUUUCGCAUUUUCCCAAUUAAGUCCAUCUAGCCAAUUUUAGCUAAAAAUCACUAAACUAGACAUUAACUAUAUUAGGUAGUACAGGUGACAUUGACGUAAAUAAUUUUUUAAUUUUUUUUAACAUUUUUAAUGAACUUUUUAUUUUUUAUUUUUCUUUUCUUUUUCUAAUCCUAGGCCGGCAACCCUCGCCUUGUCUAGGCUAGGGGCCCUCGAGCUGCGGUGGUUGUUUUUGUAGCAAUGGUCUCCCUCCUCCUUUGAGGAGUUUGUGUUCUGAUCUUCAUGCCGUGCUUGUCUCUUGUUAGCUUGGCUUCCUUUUUCUGGUUGCCUUGUGUUGUUGAUUUUACAUCUCGGCAUCCGUCCACUCAUUAUGUCCUCUCAUCUUGAGUGUAUGUUUUCGAUGCCGUAACCUUUUGUACAUUUGGCAUUUCCCUAUAUAUUUAUUACCUCUUACCAAAAAAAAAAAAAAAAAAAAAACAGGUGAAGGAUGCCCUCGCCUUACCCAAGCCAAGCAAGGUUGUCACAGCCCUAGCCUAAAUCUAGGCAAAGGCCAACCCUCUCACUUGUGGCCUGCAACUUAAGUAACAUCGAUCAGUAUGUGACAUGCAACACAACAUAAGACAACGUGCGAUAUGGCACAACACGAUACGUUGACACAUUAAUUCUCGAAAAAUAGAGAAUUCCAACACGUUAGGAUGCAUUGUAUAUUAAAUAUAUAUAUUUUAUAUAUACAUGAUAAAUUAUCAUUUUUAUGAUUAUUUUAAUAAAUUUAAUUUGAUUUAGAUUCGGAAUAAAUAAAUAAUAAAAAAGAGCCUAGAAUGAAUUUACACUAAAAACAUUAAUUUACCGUUUGUUGAUAUGAUUCAUUGUUUCAAUUUAACAAAUCUAACUAUAUUCCGUUCAAAUAAUCUAUAAAACUUGAAGGAAAAAAAAAUCACAUUCCAUUAUUAAAUUUAACAUUUAACAAGAAAUCGAAAAAAAAAAACAAUUCACAUUUCACCAUCAAAUAUAACAAGAAGUCGUUAUUUCCCCCUUUAUUUAUUUUUAUUUUUAUUUUAUUUUUUACAUAUUUAUAUUUUGACUCCUCGUUUAGUGAAACUUUUUAAAAUUAACCUAAUGUGUAUCAAAAUCACUUGUCAGAAUUAUAGACUCACAUGUCGGAUCAUGUCGGGCCGUAUGUCGGAUUUUCCGACACCUGUUGACUACAUAUCAGAAUGUGUGGGAGCGUGUCGAAGUGUUUGACACAACACGAAAGAUCUUGGAAAAUGAACUAGGGUUAGGAAAAAAAAUAAAGAAAAGGAAAAACAAACAAAUAAAUAAAAUUAAAAUAUUCAAAUAUUAUUAAAAAUUGUGUAUGUUAGCGCUAGUCGUUGCCAGCCAUAUCACAUACAAUGUCUGAUCCACAUUAGUAAUUUUAUGUCAACAUUGGUUGAAGGAACUCAAUUGGCAAAAGUCGAAGAUGUUUAGACUCAAUUAACAAAAUUGAAAAGUUUAUGACUAAAUUGGCAAAAUUACUAUAGAUUUAUGACUUUUUGGAUAAUUUUUCCUCUUCCCUUGCAUGCAAUGCGGACUGAACUUAUCUCCUAGAGUGAGUCUUAACAGCUCAUCUAACACCAGUUCAGUGAGCGCUGGACAUGUGAACGAACAUUUAUGAAGUUGCUCUUUCCAAGUUGUAAAAUAUCCACGAAAGUUGGUUAGUAGGUGGUUAAUUUUUAAUUUCACCAAAGUCACUGGCAUUGUACUAAUUAGCCGCGUACAUAGCCCGACAAAACACGACACCGCCAUGAAUAAUACAACACCAAAGAGGUCCACAGCAGGAUCAUUUACUGGAGAAAUCCCACUUUUACACAUGACCUUCACAAACCAGACUCAACAAAAGCUUAUUUGAUAGUCCAAAUCUGCCGAUUCAGAUCGAGUAGAAACAUACUAAGUAGGCACAAAGAGACUCGCUAUCCUUCACAUAGACCAAGGACUCGGGUGCACCCGGCAUACCUGAUAAAACAGUCCUAAUACUGACCGGGCCAGAGCUCAAGGACCUUCUUCCAAGAAGGCCUGCUCGAGAUAUCAUCCCACCAACCGCUCACAUGCUUCCGGUCCCUUAUCAGGUACUCCUUCCGCAUCUUGCCCAUCAAGUACUGGGUGAACGGAAGGUGGCUCAGGUCCGCAAGGCUGAAGAAAUCCCCUGCUAGGUACUUGCUCUUUGACAGCCUCUCCUCGUAGAUAUCCAGAACCCGACAGAGCUUGUCCUCGCUCUCUUUGAGCUGCUUCGGAUCCGGGGUAAGCCCAAUAAGCGGGCCGUAAACAAGAUUGUGGACAAGGUCGUAGAUUGGCGGAUGGAAGUUGUGGGCCUCGACUUCGAGCCACUGCUCAACGAGCCCCCUCUCCUCGAUUGUCUUCCCCAGCAGUUCAGUCCCUUGGUGCUUGUAUUUCUCGGCAUAAUACCUUAUGAUGGCCCGCGAAUC